RNAcentral lists this long non-coding RNA (435 nucleotides) under Setaria viridis. RNAcentral describes it as "long non-coding RNA (SVIR_LNC008059)". Lineage: Eukaryota; Viridiplantae; Streptophyta; Magnoliopsida; Poales; Poaceae. The record is from RNAcentral.
UAAGACUCAAGGUUGCAAAGUUGAUUAUCAUGAAUGCUGGGAUGGGAGAUGAAUGGACAAGAGUAUUUUCAUGUGUUGAAUAUUCUGUUUUAUCAUGAAUGGUGUGCAUGAACGAUGGAUUGAUUUAAUUAAUGAUAUAUAUGUGGCAUCCAUUAUUGUUUUGGAUUUUCCAUUUUAGCUGACAACCAACGAGCAUAUGACAACGACAUAUUUUCCGUUGCAAUAUCCAUUGAGCGUAUAACCACGACCCAUAUUGUGUGGCAAUACCCUGUACGCAUAUAACCACGACAUACUCCGUUGCGAUAUGGUUGAAGCAUAUCAUGACGGCACGUACAUCGUUGCGAUACCUUGUACCCCCUAUUGCAACGAUUUCACGUCUUUGCUAUAUCCAUUGAGCAUAUAACCACGACAUAUGUCAUUGUGAUAUGGUUGAAG